This is a long non-coding RNA of Astyanax mexicanus (Mexican tetra), 976 nucleotides long. RefSeq lists it as uncharacterized. The transcript has 3 exons. NCBI's taxonomy places the organism in Eukaryota, Metazoa, Chordata, Actinopteri, Characiformes, Acestrorhamphidae. The record is from RefSeq and is a predicted model, not a curated record.
UCAGGCAAAAAUGCUAGCCAUUCCUACAGUAAUCAGAGAUUGGGGAUAUGAUUGAAAUAAUAAGUGCCAACUCAGAUUAAUAGAAUACCAAAAUAGUAAUUGGUUGCAGCCUUAGAAUGUUAUCUGGUCAUUUUUUUCAAUUACUAUAAUUUUCAUGAAUCAAAAUCUACAUGCUUCUAUAAUGUUUUUCACAGAUGCCCCUUAUUCUCAUAGAUACAGUUCUGGAAGAGGGUGACAAAGCUUUUUUAAAGCUGUCACUGGUUUGUCGUCUCUUCCGGGACAUUGUUUGGACAACAAUCAUUCCGGGCCCGGGCACAUUUCGAGUGGCUUGACAGUGUAGUGCCAUGAAAACAUCACAGUGCUGCAUGUAAAGACGAGUUUCGCAGGAUGUACGAACUGCAGUGCUGCCAGAACUGUCAAGAAACUUAUAAAGACUGCAUACUGGGCUACGUUGGGCAUGGGAGACGAGGGGAGCUUGUGGCAUUUUACAGCGAAAACGAGCACCCUGGAUUCUGCAGCCAGCUUCAUGAGUGGCUGGGUGUGUGAGUGGCUGGGUGUGUGAGUGGCUGGGUGUGUGAGUGGCUGGGUGUGUGAGUGGCUGGGUGUGUGAGUGGCUGGGUGUGUGAGUGGCUGGGUGUGUGAGUGGCUGGGUGUGUGAGUGGCUGGGUGUGUGAGUGGCAGGGUGUGUGAGUGGCUGGGUGUGUGAGUGGCUGGGUGUGUGAGUGGCUGGGUGUGUGAGUGGCUGGGUGUGAGUGGCUGGGUGUGUGAGUGGCUGGGUGUGUGAGUGGCUGGGUGUGUGAGUGGCUGGGUGUGUGAGUGGCUGGGUGUGUGAGUGGCUGGGUGUUGCAUUUUUAAAUAAAGACUUCUGUAUUUGUUUGACCAAAGCAUGUAACCAAACAUUUUAAAGGCUAGUGUGCCAAUAAAUGCCAAUAAAGAUAUUGUAUUAGCUUGGACAAAGUGUUUGUAAAUGGAGUUA